AACUAUCUACUGUUCAGGCACGA
RNAcentral lists this non-coding RNA (23 nucleotides) under Cricetulus griseus (Chinese hamster). Lineage: Eukaryota; Metazoa; Chordata; Mammalia; Rodentia; Cricetidae. The record is from RNAcentral.